RNAcentral lists this ribosomal RNA (243 nucleotides) under uncultured bacterium. RNAcentral's name for it is "partial 16S ribosomal RNA". It matches the Rfam family "Bacterial small subunit ribosomal RNA", at positions 527 to 769 of the family's 1533-position model. The record is from RNAcentral.
GUAGGAUCCGAGCGUUACCCGGAUUUAUUGGGUUUAAAGGGAGCGUAGGUGGGACGUUAAGUCAGUUGUGAAAUACGGCGGCUCAACCGUCGGGGUGCAGUUGAUACUGGACGUCUUGAGUGCACACAAGGAUGCCGGAAUUCAUGGUGUAGCGGUGAAAUGCUCAGAUAUCAUGAAGAACUCCGAUCGCGAAGGCAGGUGUCCGGGGUGCAACUGACGCUGAGGCUCGAAAGUGCGGGUAUC